Molecule: ribosomal RNA, 464 nt
Filed under: uncultured bacterium
Lineage: Bacteria
Description: partial 16S ribosomal RNA
Rfam family: Bacterial small subunit ribosomal RNA
Source: RNAcentral
CUACGGGGCGCUCCAGUGGGGAAUAUUGCACAAUGGGCGCAAGCCUGAUGCAGCCAUGCCGCGUGUAUGAAGAAGGCCUUCGGGUUGUAAAGUACUUUCAGCGGGGAGGAAGGGAGUAAAGUUAAUACCUUUGCUCGUUGACGUUACCCGCAGAAGAAGCACCGGCUAACUCCGUGCCAGCAGCCGCGGUAAUACGGAGGGUGCAAGCGUUAAUCGGAAUUACUGGGCGUAAAGCGCACGCAGGCGGUUUGUUAAGUCAGAUGUGAAAUCCCCGGGCUCAACCUGGGAACUGCAUCUGAUACUGGCAAGCGUGAGUCUCGUAGAGGGGGGUAGAAUUCCAGAUGUAGCGGUGAAAUGCGUAGAGAUCUGGAGGAAUACCGGUGGCGAAGGCGGCCCCCUGGACGAAGACUGACGCUCAGGUGCGAAAGCGUGGGGAGCAAACAGGAUUAGAUACCCCAGUAGUC